Molecule: ribosomal RNA, 197 nt
Filed under: uncultured Acidovorax sp.
Lineage: Bacteria; Pseudomonadati; Pseudomonadota; Betaproteobacteria; Burkholderiales; Comamonadaceae
Description: partial 16S ribosomal RNA
Rfam family: Bacterial small subunit ribosomal RNA
Source: RNAcentral
ACUCCUACGGGAGGCAGCAGUGGGGAAUAUUGGACAAUGGGCGCAAGCCUGAUCCAGCCAUGCCGCGUGCAGGAUGAAGGCCUUCGGGUUGUAAACUGCUUUUGUACGGAACGAAAAGACUCUGGUUAAUACCUGGUGUCCAUGACGGUACCGUAAGAAUAAGCACCGGCUAACUACGUGCCAGCAGCCGCGGUAAU